AAGUCGUAACAAGGUCUCCGUUGGUGAACCAGCGGAGGGAUCAUUACAGAGUAUAUAACUCCAAACCCUAUGUGAACAUUACCCAAUGUUGCUUCGGCAGAUUGCCCCAGGGCGGGGCGUACUGGUCUGCCGAAGGAAAUAAACUCUUUGAAUCACAGUGGAUAAUCUGAGUGGCAUAAGCUAAAUAAGUUAAAACUUUCAACAACGGAUCUCUUGGUUCUG
RNAcentral lists this unclassified non-coding RNA (222 nucleotides) under fungal sp. Its description in RNAcentral is "partial internal transcribed spacer region". The stretch from base 1 to 46 matches the Rfam family "Eukaryotic small subunit ribosomal RNA", at positions 1786 to 1831 of the family's 1831-position model. The record is from RNAcentral. Lineage: Eukaryota; Fungi.